This 213-nucleotide long non-coding RNA is filed under the name Ananas comosus (pineapple). RNAcentral describes it as "long non-coding RNA (ACOM_LNC024025)". The record is from RNAcentral. Lineage: Eukaryota; Viridiplantae; Streptophyta; Magnoliopsida; Poales; Bromeliaceae.
AAACCUAAGAAAAAUUAGACUUUCAUGCCCGCAGCCUCAACCCCUAAAACAACCAUAAAAACUUAAAACCCUAAACAAAAAAAAAAAAUCCUAAAAUCCGUAAAAACCUUUGAGCCUAAAAAGCCUAAAAUUCUAAAACCUUAAAACCCUAAAACUGUAUACCGUAAACCCUACAAUCCUAAACUCUAAGCCCUCAAAUGAACAAAUUUUUAA